GUGUAGCAGUGAAAUGCGUAGAUAUCAAGAGGAACACCAGUGGCGAAGGCGAGUCCCUGGACGAUACUGACACUGAGGCACGAAAGCUAGGGGAGCAAACAGGAUUAGAUACCCUGGUAGUCCUGGCUGUAAACGGUGCGCAUUUGCUGUAAACGGAAUCGACCCCGUUUGUGGCGAAGCUAACGCGAUAAAUGCGCCGCCUGGGAAGUACGGUCGCAAGAUUAAAACUCAAAGAAAUUGACGGGGGCCUGCACAAGCGGUGGAGUAUGUGGCUUAAUUCGAUGCAACGCGAAGAACCUUACCUGGCCUUGACAUGCAUGUGGUAGAACCGUGAAAGCGGGACGACCCCGCAAGGGGAGCAUGCACAGGUGCUGCAUGGCUGUCGUCAGCUCGUGUCGUGAGAUGUUGGGUUAAGUCCCGCGACGAGCGCAACCCUUGUGUCCUGUUGCCACUCCCUCGAGAGAGGGAAGCACUCUGGACAGACUGCCUCGCUUAAACGAGGAGGAAGGUGGGGAUGACGUCAAGUCAGUAUGGCCCUUACGGCCAGGGCUGCACACGUACUACAAUGCCCGGCACAAAGGGAAGCGAGACCGUCAGGUGGAGCAAAUCCCAUAAAACCGGGCCCAGUUCGGAUUGUCGUCUGCAACUCGACGACAUGAAGCCGGAAUCGCUAGUAAUGGCGCAUCAGCUACGGCGCCGUGAAUACGUUCCCAGGCCUUGUACACACCGCCCGUCACAUCAUGAAAGCCGGUUGUACCCGAAGUCCAUGUGCAAACCC
RNAcentral lists this ribosomal RNA (778 nucleotides) under uncultured bacterium. RNAcentral's name for it is "bacterial SSU rRNA". It matches the Rfam family "Bacterial small subunit ribosomal RNA", at positions 673 to 1441 of the family's 1533-position model. The record is from RNAcentral.